RNAcentral lists this ribosomal RNA (413 nucleotides) under Rhizophagus fasciculatus. RNAcentral describes it as "partial large subunit ribosomal RNA". Lineage: Eukaryota; Fungi; Glomeromycota; Glomeromycetes; Glomerales; Glomeraceae. The record is from RNAcentral.
AGAGUCAAAUAGUACGUGAAAUUGUUGAAAGGGAAACGAUUGAAGCCAGUCGUACCGGCGGGUAAUCAGCCUUUUGGGUGUGAUUAUGUGGAGCGUGAAGAGUUAAUCACCUUCAUCUUUGCAUAUUCGUGCACUUUGGGUGUACUUGCUCGUGUGGUAGGUUAACAUCAAUUUUGAUCAUCAUAAAAUGAUUGGAGGAAUGUAGCUUCGAUCUUGUAUUGAAGUGUUAUAGCCUUCGGUAGAUGUGAUGAUUGGGAUUGAGGAUUGCAACGGAUACCUUUCGGGGCUACCUGUCUGAUCUCUGAAAGUUGCUCUGGUGCUGAAAGCUUGCUUAUGGUAUCAAAGUUUGACGUUCAAUAGGUUAGAAUGGGAUAAAUUCGUUAAGGAUGUUGACGUAAUGGCUUUAAACGACC